UACGUAGGUGGCAAGCGUUGUCCGGAAUUAUUGGGCGUAAAGCGCGCGCAGGCGGUCCUUUUAAGUCUGAUGUGAAAGCCCACGGCUCAACCGUGGAGGGUCAUUGGAAACUGGGGGACUUGAGUACAGAAGAGGAAAGCGGAAUUCCACGUGUAGCGGUGAAAUGCGUAGAGAUGUGGAGGAACACCAGUGGCGAAGGCGGCUUUCUGGCCUGUUCUUGACGCUGAGGCGCGAAAGCUAGGGUAGCAAACGGG
This 254-nucleotide ribosomal RNA is filed under the name uncultured bacterium. Its description in RNAcentral is "partial 16S ribosomal RNA". It matches the Rfam family "Bacterial small subunit ribosomal RNA", at positions 524 to 776 of the family's 1533-position model. The record is from RNAcentral.